RNAcentral lists this ribosomal RNA (401 nucleotides) under uncultured soil bacterium. RNAcentral describes it as "bacterial SSU rRNA". It matches the Rfam family "Bacterial small subunit ribosomal RNA", at positions 26 to 449 of the family's 1533-position model. The record is from RNAcentral.
AGAACGAACGCUGGCGGCAUGCCUAAUACAUGCAAGUCGAACGAACACUUCGGUGUUAGUGGCGCACGGGUGCGUAACGCGUGGGAAUCUGCCCUUGGGUUCGGAAUAACAGUUGGAAACGACUGCUAAUACCGGAUGAUAUCGAAAGAUCAAAGAUUUAUCGCCCAGGGAUGAGCCCGCGUAGGAUUAGCUAGUUGGUGAGGUAAAGGCUCACCAAGGCGACGAUCCUUAGCUGGUCUGAGAGGAUGAUCAGCCACACUGGGACUGAGACACGGCCCAGACUCCUACGGGAGGCAGCAGGUAGGGAAUAUUGGACAAUGGGCGCAAGCCUGAUCCAGCAAUGCCGCGUGAGUGAUGAAAGGUCCGUUUAAGGGUUGUAAACGCCUUACUUUUAACCCGAG